RNAcentral lists this ribosomal RNA (440 nucleotides) under uncultured bacterium. RNAcentral describes it as "partial 16S ribosomal RNA". It matches the Rfam family "Bacterial small subunit ribosomal RNA", at positions 338 to 795 of the family's 1533-position model. The record is from RNAcentral.
CCUACGGGGUGCAGCAGUGGGGGAUAUUGCACAAUGGGGGAAACCCUGAUGCAGCGACGCCGCGUGGGUGAAGAAGCGCCUCGGCGCGUAAAGCCCUGUCAGCAGGGAAGAAAAUUACGGUACCUGAAGAAGAAGCCCCGGCUAACUACGUGCCAGCAGCCGCGGUAAUACGUAGGGGGCAAUCGUUAUCCGGAUUUACUGGGUGUAAAGGGGGCGCAGACGGCGGUGCAAGCCAGGAGUGAAAGUCCGGGGCCCAACCCCGGGACUGCUUUUGGAACUGGGUGGCUAGAGUGCCUGAGGGGCAGGCGGAAGUCCUGGUGUAGCGGUGAAAUGCGUAGAUAUCAGGAGGAACACCGGUGGCGAAGGCGGCCUGCUGGGCUGCAACUGACGUUGAGGCCCGAAAGCGUGGGGAGCAAACAGGAUUAGAUACCCCAGUAGUC